AGAUUGAACGCUGGCGGCAGGCCUAACACAUGCAAGUCGAGCGGCAGCACGGGUACUUGUACCUGGUGGCGAGCGGCGGACGGGUGAGUAAUGCCUAGGAAUCUGCCUGGUAGUGGGGGAUAACGCUCGGAAACGGACGCUAAUACCGCAUACGUCCUACGGGAGAAAGCAGGGGACCUUCGGGCCUUGCGCUAUCAGAUGAGCCUAGGUCGGAUUAGCUAGUUGGUGAGGUAAUGGCUCACCAAGGCGACGAUCCGUAACUGGUCUGAGAGGAUGAUCAGUCACACUGGAACUGAGACACGGUCCAGACCUCCGUACGGGAGGCAGUCAGGUGGGGAAAUAGUUGGACAAGUGGGAGAAAGCCUGAUCCAGCCAUCGCCGCGUGUGUAGAAGUAAGGUCUUACGGAGUUAGUAAA
This 416-nucleotide ribosomal RNA is filed under the name uncultured soil bacterium. Its description in RNAcentral is "bacterial SSU rRNA". It matches the Rfam family "Bacterial small subunit ribosomal RNA", at positions 26 to 429 of the family's 1533-position model. The record is from RNAcentral.